GCAGAGUCGACGGGGGAGCCGCGGCCAUCAAUCCUGCGCCGUGAGGACGGGAGUUUAAACUGAAUUAGCUGACCAAGCUUGUCCUCUACAACCAGAUCUUCCAUGAGGUCCUCGCCAUUUUAGUUUUGGAACAAGUGCCUUUUUACCUUGAGCCCACAGGAGCACUCUCCUAAAUUGACUGAGCUGCAAUGCGCACUGGGCAGGGUUCCAAUGGCACAUAGGUCCCAUGCUAGCCCUACAGCAACCUCACCAUGCAGACUGGCGUGAGCCAGCUGACUCAACAUGCUCCCAAUUCCCAAACCGGCCUAAGAGUCUGGAAGCCCUGGUUUGUGUUCCUGGCCCUGGGGCAGUCCAGAUGGUGAGACUGCCUGUAGCAAGGCGGCCUGGCUCCCAGCCGCACCUGAGAGGGCCGAGCCAGAACGGACGCCGAAGUGGGCGGAGCCACUGCCGCCUGUUCCCGCCCCCGGAAGUCAAGGGGCGGGACAGGAAGUAUAAAAGCCCAGCCCCAGGGCUCAGUUGACUGCUGGCCGCCGGAGAAGCCAGAUGCUGGUGCCCGAGCUCCUGCUGGGCCGAGCCUGCCCCACACCCGGUACCCUGAGGAGGACUGGCCGGGCUUUCCCCGCGCCCUGUACCCUGCUUCCAGGUGCACUGCACCACUGAUCGGGAGCCACCCCAGAUAUCCUUGUUUGUCAAUGGAAAUCAGGAGAAAAAGCAGUCACCAGAAGAAAUUGUUUGCUCUGAAAAUGGCAUACAACAAAACUCCAUGGCGUGUGCAGUGCUGUUUAUAUGGGUAAAUAAAUGGCUUCUGUCCAAGUUGAACCCUCAGCACUGGAGAACAGAAAGGUGACUGGAUAGACCAUUUUUACAGUGGCAGGUGCAGUACAGGAGGACCACAGCACUGACUGUGCCAGUCUGGUAGAGAUGACCAUCCGAGCAUUCAAAACACAUGGCAAGAACUAUUGAGUCUCAUUCUUUAACACCAAGAAAAUGUAGCCACUCUGAAAUGUUAGUUAGCACCAUUGGUAAUCAACUGAAGUUAUUUUGUGUGUGGACACAAUGUGUAUUUCAGUGAAGUGAGGAGAAAUAAUAAUUAUCUAACAUGAUAAAUUUAUCUACUGUAGAAAAGGACUCAAAGAUGUGGGUGGCUGUUACCUGAGCUUUACCAUAUAAUUAUCCCUAAAACAAACUUUAAAAACUCGGGAACUGGUGUUUGGUUACCUCAUGCUCUUGGGCCACAGUACAUUUCCUAUGUUGCAUCACUUUCACUCUGUCCAAGAGGGGAGACCAUGGUGCAUCACGGGAGAUGUAGUCCAACUGGGGUGCCUGGCCAAUAGAAGAAAAUGGGAACAAGAGUCAACCUAACUGUAAUUCCCACGAAUACCAUGGCAACUGAGAUGAAAGAACUCAGCAGGAAACUAUCAAUUCCAUCAACCCCUUCCUCACUGAUCUAUGACCCUCUGACAUGGACUUGCAGGUAUAUCCCUUUCCCCUGGCUAGUAAGGGGGGGCACAAUUCUGUGGAAAGACCCUGGAGCAGCAGGGAAGCUGAAUACAGGGGGAACCGCUGGCAAACUUUGCACACCACAAGCUGCAGCAGGAGCCAGGAAACUGCAUGUGGGACAGGAUGUAACUGUUGGGCACUGCAGCCAAACUCAGAUCUGUUCAGAACUUGUGAGGAUGUGGCAGAGGCUGGGUAGAAAACCAGAUUAGAGAACUCCCAAUGAGACAUACUACUACCUGAUCCUGACCUGGAAACCUGCAAGCUCCUAUUUGUCUCCAGCAGAAACCAGACUGCAGUGCAGAGGCACCCCAGGCACUAAGGUCUGAGAAGCCCUAACCCGGGACUGCCCUCCCAAAGGCCCAGGUAGGACCUAUUAGCAUUUUACAUUAAAAUGCAACUGUUUAAACCAUUGUACCUCGGGCAUUUACAACCUUCCCCUUUCUGCCAACCCUAGUAAAAUAUAUUUUCAUUUAGCAGCUAUUAGGUUCAACCAGGGCUAGCAUCUAUAGCACCUAGCAUCUGAAGUGCCUUCAGCACUUGUCUCUGAGUCAUAGUACACCUGGCACUCCUACUACCUUUGAGGUUUGGGGUACCACAGCUCUAGCAUCUGUAACAAUUUCACAGCAUUUCCAAAUUGGAAAACUUUGGGUUUUGAACAUUCUGUGUUUUGAUGAAAAAUCCAAGUUUCCUAUGGAAAGCAGUUCAUUCAUAAAAAUAGUAAUCAUUUAUUGAAAAACAGCUUUCCAUAAAACAGCAACAGUUUCAAUGGAAAAUUUUCAGUCAGCUCUGAUACCAGGAAAAUACCAAUACAAUUAUGAUGAGUACAAAAUAAUGUUUGUAGUUCUAGAUUAGAGUAAAGUGAUUCUUUAUAUAUACCGUAUCUAUAUUCCUCUCAUCAUACCACUACAGGACAGAGUUAAAGUCAAAGCCACCAACUUCCCUGUUGGCAAUAUAGUUUCAUUCUCAUUGGGAAUUAUGGGAGGAGGCCAUUUUGAAAUUGAGCAUUUCAGCUGAUGACACCAGUGGCCUAA
Mauremys reevesii (Reeves's turtle) is the source of this 2531-nucleotide long non-coding RNA. RefSeq lists it as uncharacterized. The transcript has 5 exons. Lineage: Eukaryota; Metazoa; Chordata; Testudines; Geoemydidae. The record is from RefSeq and is a predicted model, not a curated record.